GAACAUUCUCAGGAUAAACAUGA
RNAcentral lists this non-coding RNA (23 nucleotides) under Arabidopsis thaliana (thale cress). The record is from RNAcentral. Lineage: Eukaryota; Viridiplantae; Streptophyta; Magnoliopsida; Brassicales; Brassicaceae.